AGUGAACGCUGGCGGUAGGCCUAACACAUGCAAGUCGAACGGCAGCACAGUAAGAGCUUGCUCUUGCGGGUGGCGAGUGGCGGACGGGUGAGGAAUACAUCGGAAUCUACUUUUUCGUGGGGGAUAACGUAGGGAAACUUACGCUAAUACCGCAUACGACCUACGGGUGAAAGCAGGGGAUCUUCGGACCUUGCGCGAUUGAAUGAGCCGAUGUCGGAUUAGCUAGUUGGCGGGGUAAAGGCCCACCAAGGCGACGAUCCGUAGCUGGUCUGAGAGGAUGAUCAGCCACACUGGAACUGCGACACGGUCCAGACUCCUACGGGAGGCAGCAGUGGGGAAUAUUGGACAAUGGGCGCAAGCCUGAUCCAGCCAUACCGCGUGGGUGAAGAAGGCCUUCGGGUUGUAAAGCCCUUUUGUUGGGAAAGAAAAGCAGCAGGUUAAUACCCCGCUGUUCUGACGGUACCCAAAGAAUAAGCACCGGCUAACUUCGUG
RNAcentral lists this ribosomal RNA (492 nucleotides) under uncultured bacterium. RNAcentral describes it as "partial 16S ribosomal RNA". It matches the Rfam family "Bacterial small subunit ribosomal RNA", at positions 29 to 507 of the family's 1533-position model. The record is from RNAcentral.